AUGAUAUUAGUAAAAUCAUUACAAAGCCUUGUCAUGGCUUAAUUAUUAGUUGGACCCUAAUACAUCAUA
RNAcentral lists this transfer RNA (69 nucleotides) under Aneides hardii (Sacramento mountain salamander). RNAcentral describes it as "tRNA-Asp". The record is from RNAcentral. Lineage: Eukaryota; Metazoa; Chordata; Amphibia; Caudata; Plethodontidae.